This 253-nucleotide ribosomal RNA is filed under the name uncultured bacterium. RNAcentral describes it as "partial 16S ribosomal RNA". It matches the Rfam family "Bacterial small subunit ribosomal RNA", at positions 524 to 776 of the family's 1533-position model. The record is from RNAcentral.
UACGGAAGGGGCAGGCGUUGCUCGGAAUCACUGGGCGUAAAGCGCACGUAGGCGGAUUGCUAAGUCAGGGGUGAAAUCCUGGAGCUCAACUCCAGAACUGCCUUUGAUACUGGCGAUCUCGAGUCCGGGAGAGGUGAGUGGAACUGCGAGUGUAGAGGUGAAAUUCGUAGAUAUUCGCAAGAACACCAGUGGCGAAGGCGGCUCACUGGCCCGGUACUGACGCUGAGGUGCGAAAGCGUGGGGAGCAAACAGG